CAUUUUGGCGACUUUAAUAUACCAUUUCACCUAUGGGUGUAUGGUAUAAAAAUGGAAUAAUAGCGGGAAAAGAAGACCCUUUUGAGCUUGACUCUAAUCUGGCAGUGUAAGGAGACAUAAGAGGUGUAGAAUAAGUGGGAGAUAUUAUUCCUUUGUGUUUGAUAUCGCCAAUGAAAUACCACUACUCUUAUUGUUUCCUUACUUACUUGAUUAAAUGGAACGUGUAUCAUUUCCUAGCCAUUAUAAGGAUAUAUUUAUUAUAUCUUAUGGUAUUGGGUUUUGAUGCAAGCUUCUUGAUCAAAGUAUCACGAGUUUGUUAUAUAAUCGCAAACAAAUUCUUUAAUGAGAGAGUGCAUUUAUGUAUUUUUAAUUUGAAAUAUUUGGUAUAACUUCAAUUACUCAGGUAUGAUCCAAUUCAAGGACAUUGCCAGGCAGGGAGUUUGACUGGGGCGGUACACCUCUUAAAUAAUAACCGAGGUCUCCCAAGGCCACCUCAGUGCGGACAGAAACCACACAUAGAGCAAAAGGGCAAAUCAGCAUUUGAUCUCGGUGUUCAGUACACACAGGGACACCAAAAGCUCGGCCUAUAGAUCCUUUUGGGUUAAAGAGUUUUUAACAAGAUGUGCCAGAAAAGUUACCUUAGGGAGAACUGGCUUUUUGAUCCUUCGAUGUCGGCUCUUCCUAUCAUUGUGAAGCAAAAUUCACCAAGCGUUGGGAUUGUUCACAUGGGUGUGGGAACGUGAGCUGGGUUUAGACCGUCGUGAGACAGGUUAGUUUUACCCUACUAAUGACAAAACGUUGUUGCGACAGCAUUCCUGCGUAGUACGAGAGGAACCGCAGGUACGGACCAAUGGCACAAUACUUGUUCGAACGAACAGUGGUAUGACGCUACGUCCGUUGGAUUAUGCCUGAACGCCUCUAAGGUCGUAUCCGUGCUGGACUGCAAUGAUAAAUAAGGGGCAAUUUGCAUUGUAUGGCUUCUAAAUCAUUAAAAGUUUAUUUUAUAAACGACAAUGGAUGUGAUGCCAAUGUUAUUUGUAACAUAGUAAAUUGGGAGGAUCUUCGAUCACCUGAUGCCGCGCUAGUUACUUAUUAAAACAUUAUUUAAUACAAACGACAAAGCCUAGAAUCAAUUGUAAACGACUUUUGUAACAGGCAAGGUGUUGUAAGUGGUUGAGCAGCUGCCAUACUGCGAUCCACUGAAGCUUACCCUUUGCUUGAUGAUUCGA
RNAcentral lists this non-coding RNA (1229 nucleotides) under Drosophila willistoni. Its description in RNAcentral is "Eukaryotic large subunit ribosomal RNA". It matches the Rfam family "Eukaryotic large subunit ribosomal RNA", at positions 2390 to 3399 of the family's 3401-position model. The record is from Rfam by way of RNAcentral. Lineage: Eukaryota; Metazoa; Arthropoda; Insecta; Diptera; Drosophilidae.